GUGGACGUGCCGAAGUGGUUAUCGAGCAUGACUAGAAAUCAUGUGGGCUUUGCCCACGCAGGUUUGAAUCUUGUCGUCCAUG
Molecule: transfer RNA, 82 nt
Organism: Ipomoea nil (Japanese morning glory)
Lineage: Eukaryota; Viridiplantae; Streptophyta; Magnoliopsida; Solanales; Convolvulaceae
Rfam family: tRNA
About the family: Transfer RNA (tRNA) molecules are approximately 80 nucleotides in length. Their secondary structure includes four short double-helical elements and three loops (D, anti-codon, and T loops).
Source: Rfam